AUUGAACGCUGGCGGCAGGCCUAACACAUGCAAGUCGAACGGUAACAGGGAGCAGCUUGCUGCUUCGCUGACGAGUGGCGGACGGGUGAGUAAUGUCUGGGAAACUGCCUGAUGGAGGGGGAUAACUACUGGAAACGGUAGCUAAUACCGCAUAACGUCGCAAGACCAAAGAGGGGGACCUUAGGGCCUCUUGCCAUCGGAUGUGCCCGGAUGGGAUUAGCUAGUAGGUGGGGUAACGGCUCACCUAGGCGACGAUCCCUAGCUGGUCUGAGAGGAUGACCAGCCACACUGGAACUGAGACACGGUCCAGACUCCUACGGGAGGCAGCAGUGGGGAAUAUUGCACAAUGGGCGCAAGCCUGAUGCAGCCAUGCCGCGUGUAUGAAGAAGGCCUUCGGGUUGUAAAGUACUUUCAGCGGGGAGGAAGGGAGUAAAGUUAAUACCUUUGCUCAUUGACGUUACCCGCAGAAGAAGCACCGGCUAACUCCGUG
Molecule: ribosomal RNA, 490 nt
Filed under: uncultured bacterium
Lineage: Bacteria
Description: partial 16S ribosomal RNA
Rfam family: Bacterial small subunit ribosomal RNA
Source: RNAcentral